CGAAGAUCAAGGAAAUGACUAGUACCCGCUCUAACCACCACUGUCACGACGUUUUUGGGCAGCAUUAAGAUUUCCUGCUACCUGUUGCUGCUGCUGAAUAUACAUGGAAGUAAACCCAGAAAUUAAAUUUACUUCCUCGUCAGUUAUUUCCGAUUUAUCCUGGCUCCAGCUGAUAAGGCUUCCACCCGGAACUUCGACGCGGCAAUAAGCACCGGUGUAUAAGGCGAUGCAGCUGGGUGCGAGUGCCAUUGAUUGGUAUCACAUUAACUUAGCAGAACUACUGUUCAUUUUAUUCCGGUCUUUGCCGAGCUCAGUUGUACACGAUGAAGUCAGCCGCUGCUAUCAUCAUGCUGUGCACCACCGUCACGCUGCUACUCCACUACAGUGCAGCGGAGUCUGGUAACCCCACCGUCGAAUCUGGGCUCAACACAAUCAACGCGGGAAGCGGCGUAGUCAAAUCGGGGAGUGACACCGAAACCGACAAGCUAACACGGGAAAAGCGUUCAAAUGCAGUCGAGAUAUUGGAAACACUUUGGAAAUGUCCCGACCCAUUAAUGACUUAUGGCUGUCGCGACUGUGAGAGGUCAUGCGCCAAACCCAACCCGUCGGCGUUUUGCGCUUUUCAAUGCGACAGCACCUGCAUCUGCAAACCGGGUCUAUACCGUACUUUCCUUCCCUCGCCGACAUGCGCGCCGCCCAAUGGACCCCUCCUCAACAACUGCAAAGGCCAAAUGCCAAUGCGUAAAGGCUAAACAUGGGCUAGGCCAGAUGGCCGCGGCUACGAUAUUUUUUGCGAUUGGUCGAUAUAGCAUACGCUGAUUAUCAAUUAAUUUCCUUACGAUGUUGCGUACGCAUAGCCAGCCAGUGGUUGCUUGGAACAGAAUUUGUGAUUGUACUGAUGGUAGCAUAUUAGCAUUUUUGAACAUGCUGCGGACACACAUUGGUGUAAAUAAAAGACAGGAACCAUCUUGGAAUGUCAAUCUGUUAAACUGUUUUUUGUUAAAUUUUGUGCUGUAUAAUAAAUUCCACCACCUUUCGUGGGAUGGUGAUUUCGCCUUUGGUCCUGCAGCUAACGCACCUGGUAAGCUUUGUUAAUUUAGCUUUUGAAAUAAAUGCCCACGGCUG
Molecule: RNA transcript, 1125 nt
Organism: Paramacrobiotus metropolitanus
Lineage: Eukaryota; Metazoa; Tardigrada; Eutardigrada; Parachela; Macrobiotidae
Exons: 3
Source: RefSeq, a predicted model, not a curated record